Molecule: long non-coding RNA, 313 nt
Organism: Dendroctonus ponderosae (mountain pine beetle)
Lineage: Eukaryota; Metazoa; Arthropoda; Insecta; Coleoptera; Curculionidae
Exons: 2
Source: RefSeq, a predicted model, not a curated record
GGCGAAGCAACAAAAUAUCAGCAAAGUUUUAAAUUAAGAAUCGGCGACGUGUUGUUUGACAUGUACUUAUGCUGUCCACACCUCGCUGAAUGGAUGUCAGCCGCAGCUUCCAAUUGGACCGGACAGGUCGACAAAAGCUCCGGAAUAAACAUUUCUUCGGUCGACCCACUUGAAAGGUAAUACUUUUAAUCCAGCAAACAGUCAAAACACCGGGCCUAUCAAAUGGGAUAAAGUGCGGAUUAUUUAUUUAAUGGGAUACCUAUAUGUUUGUUCAAUAAAGUAAAUUUUCGUUGCGUAUCUAGCUUCUUCAAAA